AUCAAUUAAACUGAUCUCCUAGUAAAAAAGCUAGAAUUACAACAUAAGACCAGAAGACCCUGUGAAGCUUAAAUAAAACUAUUAAACCAUAUAAUAGCUACUUUCGGUUGGGGCGACCUUGGAAAAAAAAAGAACUUCCAAAUAAAAUGAAUAUACCUCAUUAUCUAAACAGGCUAACAAGCCAAAAAUGACCCAGCACAGCUGAUAAUUGAACCAAGUUACUCCAGGGAUAACAGCGCAAUCUUCUUCAAGAGCCCAUAUCAAAAAGAAGGUUUACGACCUCGAUGUUGGAUCAGGACAUCCUAAUGGUGCAGCCGCUAUUAAGGGUUCGUUUGUUCAACGAUUAAUA
Molecule: ribosomal RNA, 349 nt
Filed under: Coronella austriaca
Lineage: Eukaryota; Metazoa; Chordata; Lepidosauria; Squamata; Colubridae
Description: partial large subunit ribosomal RNA
Rfam family: Bacterial large subunit ribosomal RNA
Source: RNAcentral